UACGUAGGUGGCGAGCGUUGUCCGGAAUUACUGGGUGUAAAGGGCGUGUAGGCGGGGAUACAAGUCAGGUGUGAAAUUCCGCGGCUCAACUGCGGGACUGCAUUUGAAACUGUAUAUCUUGAGUAUUGGAGAGGGAAGUGGAAUUCCUAGUGUAGCGGUGAAAUGCGUAGAGAUUAGGAGGAACACCAGUGGCGAAGGCGGCUUCCUGGCCAAAUACUGACGCUGAGGCGCGAAAGCGUGGGGAGCAAACAGGAUUAGAUACCCUGGUAGUCCACGCCGUAAACGAUGGAUACUAGGUGUGGGUGGCAACGGACCAUCUGUGCCGGCGUUAACACAAUAAGUAUCCCACCUGGGGAGUACGGCCGCAAGGUUGAA
RNAcentral lists this ribosomal RNA (375 nucleotides) under uncultured bacterium. RNAcentral's name for it is "bacterial SSU rRNA". It matches the Rfam family "Bacterial small subunit ribosomal RNA", at positions 524 to 898 of the family's 1533-position model. The record is from RNAcentral.